GGCUGGUCCGAUGGUAGUGGGUUAUCAGAACUUAUUAACAUUAAUGUCACUAAAGUUGGUAUUCAACCCCCCACUGCUAAAUUUGACUGGCUUUAA
RNAcentral lists this Y RNA (96 nucleotides) under Propithecus coquereli (Coquerel's sifaka). RNAcentral describes it as "Y RNA (ENSPCOG00000007865.1)". It matches the Rfam family "Y RNA". From Rfam's summary of the family: Y RNAs are components of the Ro ribonucleoprotein particle (Ro RNP), in association with Ro60 and La proteins. The Y RNAs and Ro60 and La proteins are well conserved, but the function of the Ro RNP is not known. The record is from Rfam by way of RNAcentral. Lineage: Eukaryota; Metazoa; Chordata; Mammalia; Primates; Indriidae.